CCUUGUUUCCAUGACUUUUAGGCUCAAGAUUUUUGACAAUAUGAUGCUGCCUUGGAUUAAGAUAAUUGGUACAAAGAAUCUCCAUUUAAUUGAAAGCAACAGGACACAACUUAAAUGGUGAAUGUGAUCAUCAUAUACAUCAUUUAAGCUUGUCUUAUGUGCAACCUAUAUUAAUUAAUAGAUGGUAUCAGAUCUAUAUCACAAUUGACUAUUCUGUAAGAUGUAUACCCUGCAUAAACAAUUUUUACAACUUCUAAUGGAUGUCAAACACUGUCAUGUCCAAGAAACACCUAUAUUGUCCCUUCUGAAGCUGGUCAGAACCAGGCAAAUCAUUGAAAUUCAUAGACCAUUGGAUUCACAAAUAAUGGCUGGUUUAAAAGGUUGCCCUGAUUCACCUGGAACUUCCCAGAAUUUGUAUAAUGGGUAGCCAUUUCUCCAAGCUGAAAAUUUUCAGCAUGGUCAGUCCCAGUCCCAGCAUUGCUCAUGACGUUUUGGAAAUCUAAACUUGGAUUGUAUGUGUUGUCGUUUAGAAGCUGAGAAAUUGAUCCCAUAUACUCAAAUUCCAGUAGAUGAGAAAGGGAACAUGUCUUUGAAAUUUUCAGCAUUUGUUGCUCACUGGCAUCAUUAGCUACAGGUUUUUCCAAUUGUGUAUUUGUAAUUUCUACUUUCUCCUCCAAAUUUCUUCCAAUAUUUCUCUUCUUAUAAAUCCUGCACAGGACCCAAUCAUCCAAUCUCAUGGAUCCAUUUUGCUGUUUGACUUGCUUUCUUGAAUCAUUUAAGCGAUAUUCAUGCAUAAUCCAAUCACUCUUAAUACCCUUUGGUGGCCUACCCUUGUAGAACACAAGAGCUUUCUUAACACCAACAUAUUUAGACCCACUGUAGAUGGCCUUGUCUGUGCCAGUGGCCUUCCAAUACCCAGACACAGUUGCUCUGUUAGGCCUCACUCCAUUUGGAUACUUCCUGUCACGAGGAGUAAAGAAGUACCAUUCAUUUUCUCCAAAUUCUGCUUUCUCAGGUAAUUGCCAAGGAUCAAACUUGUAAAUAUCAACUUCUGGGAUUAUUGACACGGGCAAUGGCCUAGAAUUGGCUUGGUUACGAAGGGAAUAUAUGAUCAAUUAAUUCCUCAUCAGUUGGGUGGAAUCUAAAACCAGGUGGAAGGUCAGAGCUGGUUUUUCCUUGCAUUUUCAAGUGCUGGAAACAAUCCAAGAAAAUAAACAAGGCCAAGAAAAGAUAAAAUAGAUCUAUAUAUGAGAGACUGCUGCUAGGUGCUAAUAAUUUCCUUAGGCUAGGCUAAGGAGGA
Molecule: unclassified non-coding RNA, 1300 nt
Filed under: Hevea brasiliensis (rubber tree)
Lineage: Eukaryota; Viridiplantae; Streptophyta; Magnoliopsida; Malpighiales; Euphorbiaceae
Source: RNAcentral